RNAcentral lists this long non-coding RNA (899 nucleotides) under Pandoravirus quercus. RNAcentral's name for it is "hypothetical ncRNA". The record is from RNAcentral.
CGUGACCAUGUUCGCGGCCGCCGACCCAUGUGCCCUCAAAGGUCGAGAGCACACCGUGUCUAUUAAGGAUCUGGUCGGUUUUGCAUGCGGCGGCGGCCUCGUCUGCCAUUUCCACCGCUAGGCCAUAGCCGUGGGGCUCGCCAUUGACGAGGUCGCCCAUAAAGACGACCGACUCGCGUACUGAGCGGUGUGGCCCAGUCGCUGCCGGUACGGCGGGCGCCGAGGCCACCGCACGGUAGAGCCAACGCCAGUCCUUGCCAUAGUUGGAAAACUGUCGGUGCAGUGGAUCGCCAUAACACAGGGUAUACAAGUGACGCCACAGACUAUCGUCGCCGCAGAUGCGCGCCAUCCGGCGGCACGUGGCCUCGAUACGACAGAUGGCCGAGGCUGAUCGUGUCGCCACGGCGAUGGCCACGAUCAACUCGUCGGGCAGCACGAGAAAGGCAUCGUUUGGCGGCGUUGGAUCAUCUAGAAGGAUUGCGGCGUGGCGACGCCGAUGAGAAGAUGCACACGAGUGCCUUUCACAAUGACGAGACUCGGUCAUGCGUCGCCACCAACGCCACCCUUUGGGACUGCGACAAUGACGACGACGCCAACAAAAGAGCGCGCGUCCUCCCCUCGGCAUACUGUAUGCUGCUAUAAAUCGGCGCCUAUUGGCGGUACGCGGCAUCUUGGUUUUUUUGGAAAAAAAACCCAAAAGGCGCGGCUGCUGGUCGGCGCUGGCGCCCUUUUGCCUCCUCGUCGACUUUUCGCUUGCGAGGCCUCUGUGUCUCUCUUUUUUUCCAGUAGUGGCGGCGCCCCGUUUUUGCGCCGCCGGCGGUUUGUGCUCGCGGUCCAGUUGCAAAAAAAAAAGAAGCGCAUCAUUGGUCCGUUGUUGGAGCAAAAAAAGAAGGUGCAGC